GACGAACGCUGGCGGCGUGCNUAAUACAUGCAAGUCGAGCGAACGGAAGGGAGCUUGCUCCCGGAAGUUAGCGGCGGACGGGUGAGUAACACGUGGGCAACCUGCCUGUAAGACCGGGAUAACUCGCGGAAACGUGAGCUAAUACCGGAUAGUUUAUCACUCCGCAUGGAGUGAUAAGGAAAGAUGGUUCUGCCAUCACUUACGGAUGGGCCCGCGGCGCAUUAGCUAGUAGGUGGGGUAACGGCUUACCUAGGCGACGAUGCGUAGCCGACCUGAGAGGGUGAUCGGCCACACUGGGACUGAGACACGGCCCAGACUCCUACGGGAGGCAGCAGUAGGGAAUCUUCCGCAAUGGACGAAAGUCUGACGGAGCAACGCCGCGUGAGUGAGGAAGGUCUUCGGAUCGUAAAGCUCUGUUGCCAGGGAAGAAGUCUUGAGAGAGUAACUGCUCUCGAGGUGACGGUACCUGAGAAGAAAGCCCCGGCUAACUACGUG
Molecule: ribosomal RNA, 495 nt
Filed under: uncultured bacterium
Lineage: Bacteria
Description: bacterial SSU rRNA
Rfam family: Bacterial small subunit ribosomal RNA
Source: RNAcentral